Molecule: ribosomal RNA, 481 nt
Filed under: uncultured bacterium
Lineage: Bacteria
Description: partial 16S ribosomal RNA
Rfam family: Bacterial small subunit ribosomal RNA
Source: RNAcentral
AUUGAACGCUGGCGGCAUGCUUUACACAUGCAAGUCGAACGGUAACAGGCCGCAAGGUGCUGACGAGUGGCGAACGGGUGAGUAAUGCAUCGGAACGUGCCCAGUCGUGGGGGAUAACUACUCGAAAGAGUAGCUAAUACCGCAUACGAUCUAUGGAUGAAAGCGGGGACCGUAAAGCCUCGCCGGAUUUGGGGCGGCGAUGUCAGAUUAGGUAGUUGGUGGGGUAAAGGCUCACCAAGCCAACGAUCUGUAGCUGGUCUGAGAGGGCGACCAGCCACACUGGGACUGAGACACGGCCCAGACUCCUACGGGAGGCAGCAGUGGGGAAUUUUGGACAAUGGGCGCAAGCCUGAUCCAGCAAUGCCGCGUGCAGGAAGAAGGCCUUCGGGUUGUAAACUGCUUUUGUACGGAACGAAACGGCUCUGGUUAAUACCCGGGGCUAAUGACGGUACCGUAAGAAUAAGCACCGGCUAACUACGUG